Molecule: ribosomal RNA, 842 nt
Filed under: uncultured archaeon
Lineage: Archaea
Description: bacterial SSU rRNA
Rfam family: Archaeal small subunit ribosomal RNA
Source: RNAcentral
UGUAGUAAUACAAGGCAGACGGCUCAGUAACGCGUAGUCAACCUACCCUAUGGACGGGGAUAACCUCGGGAAACUGAGAAUAAUACCCGAUAGAACAUUAUGCCUGGAAUGGUUUAUGUUUCAAAUAAUUUAUUGCCGUAGGAUGGGACUGCGGCCUAUCAGUUUGUUGGUGAGGUAAUGGCCCACCAAGACUAUUACAGGUACGGGCUCUGAGAGGAGUAGCCCGGAGAUGGGUACUGAGACACGGACCCAGGCCCUAUGGGGCGCAGCAGGCGAGAAAACUUUGCAAUGUGCGAAAGCACGACAAGGUUAAUCCGAGUGGUUUCUGCUAAAGGAACCUUUUGUCAGUCCUAGAAACACUGGUGAAUAAGGGGUGGGCAAGUUCUGGUGUCAGCCGCCGCGGUAAAACCAGCACCUCAAGUGGUCAGGAUGAUUAUUGGGCCUAAAGCAUCCGUAGCCUGCUUUGUAAGUUUUCGGUUAAAUCCAUACGCUCAACGUAUGGGCUGCCGGGAAUACUGCAAAGCUAGGGAGUGGGAGAGGUAGACGGUACUCGGUAGGAAGGGGUAAAAUCCUUUGAUCUAUUGAUGACCACCUGUGGCGAAGGCGGUCUACCAGAACACGUCCGACGGUGAGGGAUGAAAGCUGGGGGAGCAAACCGGAUUAGAUACCCGGGUAGUCCCAGCUGUAAACUAUGCAAACUCAGUGAUGCAUUGGCUUGAUGCCAAUGCAGUGCUGCAGGGAAGCCGUUAAGUUUGCCGCCUGGGAAGUACGUACGCAAGUAUGAAACUUAAAGGAAUUGGCGGGGGAGCACCACAAGGGGUGAAGCCUGCGGUUCAAUUGGA